RNAcentral lists this long non-coding RNA (1447 nucleotides) under Gossypium barbadense (sea-island cotton). RNAcentral describes it as "long non-coding RNA (GBAR_LNC010594)". The record is from RNAcentral. Lineage: Eukaryota; Viridiplantae; Streptophyta; Magnoliopsida; Malvales; Malvaceae.
UUGAAGAUUAAAUGUUCGAUCUCUGUUGGAACUUCCUCUACCCAGUAGAUCGGAGGAUCAUACUGUUAUCCAUAAAAUGCUAUUCCAUGCGCCGCCCCAUUCGCUGAUCGGAAAGUGUGCUAAAAAGAUAUGUUUCCAAAUCUUGAAUAUCUAUUUUUUAUUUCUUUUAUAAUGUUUGCUAUCUCUGACCUGUCAUUGUGUUCGUCGUUCAGUUUUUUUACCACUGUCAGAGUAUCUCCUUCAACACAUAUAUCUUGAAAACCAAGUUCCUCUGCGAAAGUGACCGCUUGUAGACAAGCCCAUGCCUCGGCCGUGGUAGAAUCCCAAACAUUUUGCCAUUGGUGAGUACAAGCUCCCAUUACAAAGCCCUCGUUGUUUCUUAUUAUAACACAUCAUUUUGCCCGUUUUAAAAGUUUAUAAAAAGAUGCAUCAAAGUUUACUUUGACUUGAUCUCCCUCCGGAGGUCUCCAUGUGUCAUUUUUAUUCCUUUGCAAAAACUCUGUGAUUCCUUCUGUUUGUGAUAUCUCUAUGAUAUAACUUCUAACGAAACCAUCUAUUUCCUGUGCUUUAUUUAAAAUGCCUUCAUGUAUAAAUUUGUUUCUGCUAAACCAAAUUGCCCAAAAGGCUACAGCUAUGGUAACACAGAGGUGUGAACUUUUGUCGCCUAAUUCCAUUACUAACCUAUUUUUCCAAUCAUUUUCCGUGUUUCUGUUUGAAAGUGUAACCUCAAGCUCCUGGUCAACUUGUUUUGUCAGCUUGCAAUCUCUGAAACAGUGGGCCACGGUUUCAUCAUCCUCUUUGCAGAUCGGGCAAUUCGCCUCUGUCCUUAAUCUCCUUAUUUUUAGGUUGUAAAAUAAUUUUUUUUGUAGCUUUAUCGUGUAUUGUAUUAUUAUUUCCUAGCUGGUGUAGACCACUUGUAAUUUGCCAUUUGUAUCCACUUUUUACUGUAUAAUUACCCGAAUUGUCUCUUCUCCAUACUAGUUCAUCUGAUUGCAUGCUGUCAACUACAGGAAUUGAUGUUAUUUGCUCCGCUUGUUCUUCACUGAAGAACCUUGUGAUAUCUUCAGAAUUCCAGGUAUUUUCUUAUUAAUUAAAUCAGAGACUGUUGUGAAAUUUAUAUUGAUGUUCUGAACCUCAAUUCUACCGUUUCCAGGUUUUGGCAGCCAUAUAUCAUUACAAAUGUUUCCCGAUUCUCCAUCCCAUCCCUUGUUGUAAAAGGGUACGUUCUCCUCAUAUGCUACGCUAGAUAUAAGAGGGGUAAGCACCUAAAUUUGCGUUCAUAAAAUCUCCAUAAGGAUAGUACUUAGCCCUCAUAACCUGUGCCAAUAAACUGUUUGGUUGACUAUUAGGGUACGUUUGGUUCACUGUGAUGGAAUAAUGUUAUAAUUGAACAGAGCUGUAAUAAGUAAUUUAACUGUUUGGUUGAAUGGAAUGGAAUAGAACUGUA